Molecule: transfer RNA, 75 nt
Filed under: Toona ciliata
Lineage: Eukaryota; Viridiplantae; Streptophyta; Magnoliopsida; Sapindales; Meliaceae
Also listed under: 4 other names
Description: tRNA-Lys
Rfam family: tRNA
About the family: Transfer RNA (tRNA) molecules are approximately 80 nucleotides in length. Their secondary structure includes four short double-helical elements and three loops (D, anti-codon, and T loops).
Source: RNAcentral
UGGGUGUAUAGCUCAGUUGGUAGAGCAUUGGGCUUUUAACCUAAUGGUCGCGGGUUCAAGUCCUGCUAUACCCAA